Long non-coding RNA from Phalaenopsis equestris, 560 nucleotides. RefSeq lists it as uncharacterized. The record is from RefSeq and is a predicted model, not a curated record. NCBI's taxonomy places the organism in Eukaryota, Viridiplantae, Streptophyta, Magnoliopsida, Asparagales, Orchidaceae. The transcript has 3 exons.
UCCUAGAUCCCAAACACUCAUUCGGCCGAAACCCUCCUCUCCCGAACAUUCCCCAUGCCCUUUCCCCUCCUUAUAGCCGAAACUCCAAUUCGGUCGAGCCUCGCCCCUCUCCAGGAACUCUUCGGCGCCCUAGCUCCGCUCUGUCUCUGCUGGCAUCCGAACUCCCUUUUCCCCUCUCUCGAUCAAAACUCUAGAUUGAUUCUCCUCCCCCAACCCUAGUCGCUCCUCAUCAGGCCGACACUGUCCAUUUCCACUUCAGGUGAUGCCCUAGGAGCAGGUCUGUUCGCGCGCCGCAUAGUUUCUCUUGACCGAGGUUCCUAUUCCUUACUUCUUCCUUCCUGCACAUCUUGCGAGAGGAUCGGCUUGAGAAGUGCGGAAGGGAUCGUAGCUUUGCUUGGCUGCACUGUUUUCUUACCGUUUUGCUACAGAUGACCACAGGUGGUAUUGGUGACCAGCCACCUCAGCGGGUGAAUAUAAGAGUAAGAGCAGCUCCGGGAGAGGCAGUUGCUCUCCCAGACCUCGAGCACUGCUCACAGUAGUGGUACGUCUACCACUGUGCA